GAUGAACGCUGGCGGCGUGCCUAAUACAUGCAAGUCGAGCGAACAGACGAGGAGCUUGCUCCUCUGACGUUAGCGGCGGACGGGUGAGUAACACGUGGAUAACCUACCUAUAAGACUGGGAUAACUUCGGGAAACCGGAGCUAAUACCGGAUAAUAUAUUGAACUGCAUGGUUCAAUAGUGAAAGACGGUUUUGCUGUCACUUAUAGAUGGAUCCGCGCCGCAUUAGCUAGUUGGUAAGGUAACGGCUUACCAAGGCGACGAUGCGUAGCCGACCUGAGAGGGUGAUCGGCCACACUGGAACUGAGACACGGUCCAGACUCCUACGGGAGGCAGCAGUAGGGAAUAUUCCGCAAUGGGCGAAAGCCUGACGGAGCAACGCCGCGUGAGUGAUGAAGGUCUUCGGAUCGUAAAACUCUGUUAUUAGGGAAGAACAAAUGUGUAAGUAACUAUGCACGUCUUGACGGUACCUAAUCAGAAAGCCACGGCUAACUACGUG
This 497-nucleotide ribosomal RNA is filed under the name uncultured bacterium. RNAcentral describes it as "partial 16S ribosomal RNA". It matches the Rfam family "Bacterial small subunit ribosomal RNA", at positions 28 to 507 of the family's 1533-position model. The record is from RNAcentral.